AUUGAACGCUGGCGGCAGGCUUAACACAUGCAAGUCGAGCGGAGCGAGGGUGCUUGCACCUUAGCUUGGCGGCGGACGGGUGAGUAAUGCUUAGGAAUCUGCCUAUUAGUGGGGGACAACAUUCCGAAAGGAAUGCUAAUACCGCAUACGCCCUACGGGGGAAAGCAGGGGAUCUUCGGACCUUGCGCUAAUAGAUGAGCCUAAGUCGGAUUAGCUAGUUGGUGGGGUAAAGGCCUACCAAGGCGACGAUCUGUAGCGGGUCUGAGAGGAUGAUCCGCCACACGGGGACUGAGACACGGCCCAGACUCCUACGGGAGGCAGCAGUGGGGAAUAUUGGACAAUGGGCGGAAGCCUGAUCCAGCCAUGCCGCGUGUGUGAAGAAGGCCUUUUGGUUGUAAAGCACUUUAAGCGAGGAGGAGGCUACUUAGAUUAAUACUCUGGGAUAGUGGACGUUACUCGCAGAAUAAGCACCGGCUAACUCUGUGCCAGCCGCCGCAGUAA
RNAcentral lists this ribosomal RNA (501 nucleotides) under uncultured bacterium. Its description in RNAcentral is "partial 16S ribosomal RNA". It matches the Rfam family "Bacterial small subunit ribosomal RNA", at positions 30 to 523 of the family's 1533-position model. The record is from RNAcentral.